Molecule: ribosomal RNA, 192 nt
Filed under: uncultured bacterium
Lineage: Bacteria
Description: partial 16S ribosomal RNA
Rfam family: Bacterial small subunit ribosomal RNA
Source: RNAcentral
AACCCGCCUGCGUGAAGUCGGAAUCGCUAGUAAUCGCGGAUCAGCAUGCCGCGGUGAAUACGUUCCCGGGCCUUGUACACACCGCCCGUCACACCAUGAGAGUCGGGAACACCCGAAGUCCGUAGCCUAACCGCAAGGAGGGCGCGGCCGAAGGUGGGUUCGAUAAUUGGGGUGAAGUCGUAACAAGGUAUC